UUAAGCGACUAAGCGUACACGGUGGAUGCCUAGGCAGUCAGAGGCGAUGAAGGGCGUGCUAAUCUGCGAAAAGCGUCGGUAAGGUGAUAUGAACCGUUAUAACCGACGAUACCCGAAUGGGGAAACCCAGUGCAAUUCGUUGCACUAUUGCAUGGUGAAUACAUAGCCAUGCAAGGCGAACCGGGGGAACUGAAACAUCUAAGUACCCCGAGGAAAAGAAAUCAACCGAGAUUCCCCCAGUAGCGGCGAGCGAACGGGGAGGAGCCCAGAACCUGAAUCAGCAUAUGUGUUAGUGGAAGCGUCUGGAAAGUCGCACGGUACAGGGUGAUAGUCCCGUACACAAAAAUGCAUAUGUUGUGAGUUCGAUGAGUAGGGCGGGACACGUGACAUCCUGUCUGAAUAUGGGGGGACCAUCCUCCAAGGCUAAAUACUCCUGACUGACCGAUAGUGAACCAGUACCGUGAGGGAAAGGCGAAAAGAACCCCGGCGAGGGGAGUGAAAUAGAACCUGAAACCGUGUACGUACAAGCAGUGGGAGCACCUUCGUGGUGUGACUGCGUACCUUUUGUAUAAUGGGUCAGCGACUUAUAUUUUGUAGCAAGGUUAACCGAAUAGGGGAGCCGUAGGGAAACCGAGUCUUAACUGGGCGAAUAGUUGCAAGGUAUAGACCCGAAACCCGGUGAUCUAGCCAUGGGCAGGUUGAAGGUUGGGUAACACUAACUGGAGGACCGAACCGACUAAUGUUGAAAAAUUAGCGGAUGACUUGUGGCUGGGGGUGAAAGGCCAAUCAAACCGGGAGAUAGCUGGUUCUCCCCGAAAGCUAUUUAGGUAGCGCCUCGUGAACUCAUCUUCGGGGGUAGAGCACUGUUUCGGCUAGGGGGUCAUCCCGACUUACCAAACCGAUGCAAACUCCGAAUACCGAAGAAUGUUAUCACGGGAGACACACGGCGGGUGCUAACGUCCGUCGUGAAGAGGGAAACAACCCAGACCGCCAGCUAAGGUCCCAAAGUCAUGGUUAAGUGGGAAACGAUGUGGGAAGGCAUAGACAGCCAGGAUGUUGGCUUAGAAGCAGCCAUCAUUUAAAGAAAGCGUAAUAGCUCACUGGUCGAGUCGGCCUGCGCGGAAGAUGUAACGGGGCUAAACCAUGCACCGAAGCUGCGGCAGCGACACUUAGGUGUUGUUGGGUAGGGGAGCGUUCUGUAAGCCGUUGAAGGUGACCUGUGAGGGUUGCUGGAGGUAUCAGAAGUGCGAAUGCUGACAUAAGUAACGAUAAUGCGGGUGAAAAACCCGCACGCCGGAAGACCAAGGGUUCCUGUCCAACGUUAAUCGGGGCAGGGUGAGUCGACCCCUAAGGCGAGGCUGAAAAGCGUAGUCGAUGGGAAACAGGUUAAUAUUCCUGUACUUGGUGUUACUGCGAAGGGGGGACGGAGAAGGCUAGGCUAGCCGGGCGACGGUUGUCCCGGUUUAAGCAUGUAGGCGGAGUGACUUGGUAAAUCCGGUUGCUUAUCAACGCGGGGGUGUGAUGACGAGUCACUACGGUGAUGAAGUAGUUGAUGCCAAGCUUCCAGGAAAAGCCUCUAAGCAUCAGGUAACAUUAAAUCGUACCCCAAACCGACACAGGUGGUCAGGUAGAGAAUACUCAGGCGCUUGAGAGAACUCGGGUGAAGGAACUAGGCAAAAUGGUGCCGUAACUUCGGGAGAAGGCACGCUGGCAUUAGGUAAAGGGACUUGCUCCCGGCGCCGAAGCCAGUCGCAGAUACCAGCUGGCUGCAACUGUUUAAUAAAAACACAGCACUGUGCAAACACGAAAGUGGACGUAUACGGUGUGACGCCUGCCCGGUGCUGGAAGGUUAAUUGAUGGGGUCAGCCGCAAGGCGAAGCUCUUGAUCGAAGCCCCAGUAAACGGCGGCCGUAACUAUAACGGUCCUAAGGUAGCGAAAUUCCUUGUCGGGUAAGUUCCGACCUGCACGAAUGGCGUAAUGAUGGCCAGGCUGUCUCCACCCGAGACUCAGUGAAAUUGAACUCGCUGUGAAGAUGCAGUGUACCCGCGGCAAGACGGAAAGACCCCGUGAACCUUUACUAUAGCUUGACACUGAACAUUGAGCCUUGAUGUGUAGGAUAGGUGGGAGGCAUUGAAGUGUGGACGCCAGUCUGCAUGGAGCCAACCUUGAAAUACCACCCUUUAAUGUUUGAUGUUCUAACUCGGCCCCAUAAUCUGGGGUGAGGACAGUGUCUGGUGGGUAGUUUGACUGGGGCGGUCUCCUCCCAAAGAGUAACGGAGGAGCACGAAGGUUAGCUAAUCACGGUCGGACAUCGUGAGGUUAGUGCAAAGGCAUAAGCUAGCUUGACUGCGAGAGUGACGGCUCGAGCAGGUACGAAAGUAGGUCUUAGUGAUCCGGUGGUUCUGAAUGGAAGGGCCAUCGCUCAACGGAUAAAAGGUACUCCGGGGAUAACAGGCUGAUACCGCCCAAGAGUUCAUAUCGACGGCGGUGUUUGGCACCUCGAUGUCGGCUCAUCACAUCCUGGGGCUGAAGUAGGUCCCAAGGGUAUGGCUGUUCGCCAUUUAAAGUGGUACGCGAGCUGGGUUUAGAACGUCGUGAGACAGUUCGGUCCCUAUCUGCCGUGGGCGUUGGAAGAUUGAGAGGGGCUGCUCCUAGUACGAGAGGACCGGAGUGGACGAAUCACUGGUGUUCGGGUUGUCAUGCCAAUGGCAUUGCCCGGUAGCUAAAUUCGGAAGAGAUAACCGCUGAAAGCAUCUAAGCGGGAAACUUGCCUCGAGAUGAGUCUUCCCUGGGGCUUUAAGCCCCCUGAAGGAACGUUAAAGACUAUGACGUUGAUAGGCUGGGUGUGUAAGUGCAGCGAUGCAUUGAGCUAACCAGUACUAAUGAUCCGUGAGGCUUAACCUU
This 2905-nucleotide ribosomal RNA is filed under the name Yersinia enterocolitica. RNAcentral describes it as "bacterial LSU rRNA". It matches the Rfam family "Bacterial large subunit ribosomal RNA". The record is from RNAcentral. Lineage: Bacteria; Pseudomonadati; Pseudomonadota; Gammaproteobacteria; Enterobacterales; Yersiniaceae.